Long non-coding RNA from Panicum hallii, 1077 nucleotides. RefSeq lists it as uncharacterized. The record is from RefSeq and is a predicted model, not a curated record. NCBI's taxonomy places the organism in Eukaryota, Viridiplantae, Streptophyta, Magnoliopsida, Poales, Poaceae. The transcript has 4 exons.
GCGAAAACAAAGGCAACACGCGCCGUGCACCGGCGGGCGGCGGGGGCGGCGGCUGGCCACAGCUACCGCGCCGUACUCGAGAGGCGAAUGGUGCGGCAAAAGCCUUGAAAGGAUGAUGCAGGGAGCUGCCGCUCAAUCCGGGUGCUUGUUCUAAAUAAUGUCGGCUUGUGAUCAUCAUCUAGGGACUGCGUGUCAUUUCAUUUAAGGAAUCUGAAGCUUAUUUUCAACGCAGGAAAAAAUAAAAGUUGUGAACAAGCAUCUUUACAGCCAUAUAAUGACACCCGCCUAUCCUGAUUGGUGACAAUUCUAACAGAAGGAUCACCAAGUGGAAGCUUCACACCUAUCCUGAUCUGAUCCGAUCCAGCUUUUUUGAAAGAGAAGAUGCCAUCACGAUAUAUACUGGAAGGUAGUACCGGUACGCGUCAUCCGGUCCUGUGAAAUGAUUUGCCAACUGGUUCACUUCGAACCUUGCAUCUAUCCAUGGUUCGCUCAUAUACUUGCGUAAGUUACCACAAUGCCAACAAUAUGGAGCCUUUGAACAAGUGAUGCUCCAUAGUUGGUUACUCGGGAAUUUUGUGUUUAAGGAUAAGAAAGUGGCCAGUCAAUUCAUCAUGGUUUAGUGAAGGAGAUUGAAAGAGUGUGGUUAUUUCGGACUGAUAGUUGAGGUAUGCAAGAUUUCUGGUUUUUGAGUUCGUGGUUUUUUUUUGCAGAUUCGGUGACAAGUUCAGGAGGGUAAAAUAGACUUUUCUCAAAAGUGAUUGAUAACUGAACUACAAAUUACCCAGCCUAGCCCACCUAUAUCAGCCCACAUCAAAGGCCCAUCUCGUCUCCCACACCCGAACCUGCACGACGGCUCAAUGCCAUGGCGCACAUCACCGGCGGGCGUCGCUCGGACGGCCUAGGGUUACAUCCAGCGUGCUGCGCUCCAGAGGUAACUAGUGUGGCGAAGGUCUUGCAGAGAUCAUCUAGGAGCUGCCGCUCUCAAUCCGUGUCCUUGUUCCAAAGUUGGGCACAUGAUUUAUCUGGGGUUCGUUGGCUCUCGCAGUUGCAGGCAUCUGCUACCCCUACUGGAUGAGU